GUAGGUGGCAAGCGUUGUCCGGAAUUAUUGGGCGUAAAGCGCGCGCAGGCGGUCCUUUAAGUCUGAUGUGAAAGCCCACGGCCCAACCGUGGAGGGUCAUUGGAAACUGGGGGACUUGAGUACAGAAGAGGAAAGCGGAAUUCCAAGUGUAGCGGUGAAAUGCGUAGAGAUUUAGAGGAACACCAGUGGCGAAGGCGGCUUUCUGGUCUGUAACUGACGCUGAGGCGCGAAAGCGUGGGGAGCAAACAGGAUUAGAUACCCUGGUAGUCCACGCCGUAAACGAUGAGUGCUAAGUGUUAGGGGGUUUCCCGCCCCCUUAGUGCUGCAGCUAACGCAUUAAGCACUCCGCCUGGGGGAUACGGCCGCAAGGCUG
This 373-nucleotide ribosomal RNA is filed under the name uncultured organism. RNAcentral describes it as "partial 16S ribosomal RNA". It matches the Rfam family "Bacterial small subunit ribosomal RNA", at positions 527 to 896 of the family's 1533-position model. The record is from RNAcentral.